AUGCGACAGCUUUGGCUCAUCACCAACAUGAGGGCUCAAAAUGACACAUGGUUUGCAGAUUACUUGCUAAGGGUUGGCAAUGGAACUGAGGAUGUCGAUGAUCAAGGCAACAUACUACUCCCUGAAGACAUUUGUCUGCCUACUACAGGCGAGUUUGACGACUUGGAGAAGCUUAUUGACCAUGUGUUUCCGAGUCUAGAUGAAAACAUGUCUGAUUCAAAUUACAUGACAUGUCGCGCAAUACUUUCCACCACCAACGAAAAUGUCGACAAGAUAAACAUCCGCAUGAUAGAG
RNAcentral lists this ribosomal RNA (294 nucleotides) under Triticum aestivum (bread wheat). RNAcentral's name for it is "partial small subunit ribosomal RNA". The record is from RNAcentral. Lineage: Eukaryota; Viridiplantae; Streptophyta; Magnoliopsida; Poales; Poaceae.